UUAGUUGAGUGGGCAAGAGACUGGAUUUUAAUUUUCCCGUCGAUUUUGGAGGAAGGGUCUACUUUAUUUGGGGGUGUGGGGCAUUGUUUUACAUGCACCGUUCAACGUUUUGUAAGAGGCCCCUUAAGCUUUAAUGUAAUUUAGGAUUCCUAAAUAAGCAUAAAGUUUACAGAACGAGAGUGCAGGGUCUCAGGUUGACUCGUACAUAUUUCGUACGUGAGAACGAAAGCAGAGGCAGAGAAGGAAAUACUCACACUUUUUGCUCUUCAUUCAUCUGUCGUAGUUUGGUUGGGCUGGCGGGAACACGUUUUUCAUCCUCAACGUUGCCGAAAAGUACGCACUUUUUCAGUCCAGCAUAGUUUUUCUAUUGAAACGCCGUAGUGAAAUAAAAGGCUUCAUAAUGUACUAGUUCCAGUCCAGUCAUUCGUAGAAAUAGUGCCGGUACGAAAGGAAUUAAUGGAACUCUAAAUAAAUAGUGAUUUUAUAGCAAUUGGAACUUUAUUUACGAGAGUUUCUGACAAGUUUCACGUGAAGAAGACAUUCGUUGUUGGAAAGGAGGAUAAUUGAGAGUCAAAAUUUGUUCCUGGGAAUUUGAGACAUUCAGUUUUUAAACAUCUCACAAUGAAACAUCCGCCAUCCCCGAUUAAAAACUCGUUGAAGACGAUAAUCAAGACUCCAGUCACCAGGGCUUCGCAACCAUCUUCCGCCCAAGCAGUAUCUGAACCAGUGACGCCCACUCCAAGUAUUGCCCCCUCAAUUCCGUCGUCGGCGCAAUCUAUUGAAGAGAAGCGAGUUUUAAUAAGGAAGUAACUCGUCAUCCUACUUCAUGCGAUUGUCUGCCGGCGCCGAGACCAUCGGAACAGAAUCAGGAAUCCGACAACCUCAUCCCCGCCGUGCCAUGUUCCUUUCUGUGAACUCAUGAAGACUACUCAAGUUCACCUGAACGCUUGUAAGGAGGGAGAAGCGUGCAGAUAUAAUCACUGCGCUUCGUCAAGACAGAUCUUGAUGCACUGGAAAUAUUGCAGAAGAGCUGACUGUCCCGUUUGCGUAUCCCUAAGGAGAGCUAUUCCAACAAGCUUACUUCAGAUCUUUCCGAAUCCGCUGUGUCGAGCGGAAGUGAUGCAAAGGGUCGCCAGACAGCAGCAAAAUGCCAAUCACGGAGAAGACCAAGCGGUCCCUGAACUUAUGGAGUCUGAGGAAUGAUCAUCAUAACUGAAUUUACCGUUCCUGUAUUUAUUUACAAAAAGUGAUUUAUUUUUUGUGUACAUAUAAAUAUCCACAAUUCUUUACCACUUUUCUGACACGAAAUUUCCCAGUUUUUGUUGAAAAUGCUUUAAAAUCCAAUUAUAGUAGCGUUAUGAAUUAUAUUUGCUGUUGUAGUCAAGUUUUCGACAAAUUUAAUUUUCCUUUAUUUAUUGAUUCAGUUUUGAAAACGAUUGGUUAAAAGCAAUUAAUGAAUAACAAGCCAACGUUUAUUUACAUUUAUCAACGUUUUCAACCUAACGGAAGCGAUUCCAAGAAACGAAUGUGUCAUAAAAAGUAUGAUUAUAUUAUUUAUCAUUAAAUCAAUAGUUAUUAUCCAUGAAAAUGCAUCAUUUCCUACCGUUCAGUAUUAAUACUGUAAGACAUGAGAUUUUGUAGAUUAAUUGUGUUCAAGGCGUGAAUUUUUCAUGUAUCAUCUUACGAGCUAUUAGAGAAAAGAAAGGCGUUUUAGUAUUAGAGAGAGAAAGAACUGAAUUAUGUAUCUGAUUUAUUGUACGGUUAUUGACCUAUGAUUUAAACAUUUCGUUCCAAAAUUACUUGAAAUGUAUGAAUAAAAUCCUUAUCGUGAACAUUCACUUUAAAGAUAAGAUUAUGA
This is a long non-coding RNA of Folsomia candida, 1858 nucleotides long. RefSeq lists it as uncharacterized. NCBI's taxonomy places the organism in Eukaryota, Metazoa, Arthropoda, Collembola, Entomobryomorpha, Isotomidae. The record is from RefSeq and is a predicted model, not a curated record. The transcript has 4 exons.